ACGCUUGAACACAAAGAAAUCACAGCGUCCGAUUGGGAAGAACAAGAGACACGGAAUCCCAAGCCAAGAGAUGGACCCCAAUUUAGGACAACAGUUUUAAUGAAAAACAGGCUUGAUUUUAUAUUUAUAAUCAUUAUUUCCAUUGAAUAUUACAGAAGCUGGAGCGUUGAGAAGUUGUUCUGUAUCCGGAUGGCUUGGUGGUCGGGAGUGUGCUCUCUCUGUCAAGCCGUGGUUCUGUUGCCUCUGUAGCGUUUGAGACAGACAGGGACUGGGACAGGGUUGAGGGACAUGACUGUCUUGGAUGCUGUGAGCUGACACAGAGGAGGAUUCAGUGGACGCUGGCUGGGAAUAUAGCCUAUGUUCUCUAUGCUGGAUCGUUAAGGAGGUGGAUCUUUCUGGAUGGGUAACUCUCCCUGAUCAUCCCUUUCCCUGCCCAUCCGAGUUGACCCCUGACCCCUAACCCCCCACCAACCCUUAGACCCCCCCCACUCCUGCAAGCCACCAUGACAUCGACCUCAUGGCCCCAGCUUCUGGCCUUCAAGCUGGCCCCUCCGCCCCGUGACCCUGGGAGUCCAGAGAGGAUCUUCAGCUGUGACAGGGAGAUGGAGCGCCGCUAUGAGAUCGUUCCCUCUGUGGUCUCCUCCAUGUGCUGCCUCUUCGGCAUCAUAUACUGCUUCUUUGGCUACCGUUGUUUCAAGGCGGUGAUGUUCCUAACAGGCUUGAUGUUUGGCUCUGUCGUCAUCUUUCUGCUGUGUUAUAAGGAGCGUGUCUUGGACACCCAGCUGAGUGUGGAGGCCUCGGUGGGCAUCGGCCUGGGCAUCGGUACCCUCUGUGGCCUGGUCACCAUGCUGGUGCGCUCUGUGGGACUCUUCAUGGUGGGGCUGCUGCUGGGAUUACUGCUGGGUAUCGCCUCACUUGUAGUGAUGGAGGAAUUCCACCACCCCCGGACGGUGUGGCUGCCCCUGGGGGUGUUGUUGGGGUCAGGCAUGCUGUUCGCUGUCCUCACCCUCCAAUGGCAGCGCUUCUUCACCACCCUCUCCACCGCUGUGUUUGGUUCCGCUGUCAUCACCGUCACUGUGGACUACUUCCUCGAGCUGUUCGCUCUGGUCAGAUACAUAUUGGAGAGGAUCAAGGUGGCUCCGCCCCGUCCUCUCUGCUGGUUCACCUGGGUCAUCAUGGGGGUGUGGCCUGUCCUGGCAUUGCUGGGGGUCCUCAUCCAAUGGAAGGUCACCGCCGAGGGAUAUUCACACACUGAGGUGUUUCUCAGUCGACAGCAGCGGAGGGUCCAGUUGAUGAGGAUCCACCAGAAGGAAGAGAGGACGCAGAAAGACGUGAGGAUGAUGAAGAAGAAGAAGAAGAAGAGACCGAAGCAGCAGCAACAGCAGAAGCAGCCGGGGCACCUCCAGCAUCAACAGUACCACCGCCCUCCUCCUCCUACCUACCCUCCACCUACCACCACCACCAAACCCCUGCUCCCUGAGCCUUUCACCUACCACAGGAAACCAAACCACACCCGACGCUUCGAUGGGGACGUGCUCUCGCCUAGUUACAUCUCUAGUUUCAGGGACAGACAGGUGGACAGACGGUGGACAGACAGGUGGACAGACGGGGGACAGACAGGUGGACAGACGGUGGACAGACGGGGGUACCCUCACAGCGGCAGGCCCAUGGCCAGGCACCACAUGGCUGACCGAGACUACGACUGUGGAUCCCAAGUACCCCUGACCGCCCCCAAUGGACCGGCUGUACGGGUGUGACAAUGACAAUGCCUUCAUAUCCUUUGUGUGACAAUGCCAAUGCACCGUAGUGGUCUGGAGUGGUGCUGUCUGUCCAUUAAUUGUUCAGAAAAUGUACUUCAGUGUCUGGUUUGAACGUUAAUCUCUGCACCAAUGUUUUCUGAGGUGCAUAUAGAAGUUGAUGUCGUCCCUUCCCUUCUCUUACAUUCCACCCCGAAAGCAUAUCAGGGUCCAGAUUGAGAUUGACCUUUGAACCCUGGACUAAUUCAUUCUGAGGGGGAAAUGAAAGGUUGUUGAUGUCCUCCACUCUCCUCUCUUACAUUCCAUCUUUAGUCUGUGGUUUAUUUGGGCUGUGGUUCCUACGUCUCAGCUCUUAACGGUGCAAGGAAGCACUGACUGAAGUCUUCAAGACAUCUAUUUUUGAAGUGUUACACUUUCCCAUAAAAUUUAGGUCAAUACAAUACCCACAAGUCAUAGUUUUUGCACAAAAAAAUAAAAAUAAGACUAUAAUCACCAGGAAUUCAGCAAAACAUUUGUUUAAUUUUGGAAAUGUGUUCAUAAGUAUUCCCACGAAUAAAAAUAAAAAAAUGAUGUGAUCGUGUCUCAAUGUAAUCAAGGUAUGAAAUUAUUAUUAUUUUUCAAAUGCAAUUUAUUUUUGGGGCUUUAGUUGUGGUCUGUUUGUAAUGAUUAUAAUACAGCUCCGACUCCUGACCAUCCAAAACGUGUCCCGUGGUGGCUGAAUCUAGUUGCCUGACCCUUAACCUAGUCUUUACAGCUGAGGUGGCCUGCUGUGACGUGGGCUCAGUGUUGAUUUGUUGUUGUGUGCCUACUGCCCUCGUCGACUGAUCCUGAUUCGCACCAGGCUGUCCAUUAUUAGCCCCGCCGCUAAGUCUUGUUUUAACCCGUUCAUCUCAUUAUGGCCGUGUUCAUUUGAACGGAUUUGAAACAUGAGGAAGGGAUAAUACUUUUAAAGCUACAGUAUUAUUCAAACCUGCUAUGGCUUCAAUGUUGCCCUUUACUGGUCCUGUGGGGGGGGGGGUGACAGUACAAAUAACAUGCUGUCUCUCGUCUCCUCUCGUCUCCUCUCGUCUCCUCUCCUCUCCUGUCUUUGUAAUGCAUUUACUCCUACAUAGAUUGAGUGUUUGUGUCUGAGUGCUGGGAGAUUGUCUGUAUGCUGUGGGCGGAUUGGGAUUUUGUCAACUUUCUCACACUCAUUGGCCUCUGGAGAUCAGUCUGAACAUGAAGAUUCAUGGGAGAAAAAAAAACAUUACCUGCCAUAGAAUAAGAUACAUAUGGACCCUCAACAAGUCCAUUAGACCCAGUCUGUGCUGUGAAAGGGGAAAAGUCUAGGUGGGGUCAGUACCAGUGAUGUCAUAGUAAAACAAUAGGUGGGUCGCUCCCUCUACUUUCAAUGCAUCUCACCACAGAAAGGUGUGUCUACUGCGUUGACUUGUUUACCCUCUGCUACACCAUUACAUGUCUCCCUCCGUGUCAGGUUUAGGACUGUACCAAGUACACCACUGGUUGGUCCAUUACAUGUCUCCCCCCCGUGUCAGGUUUAGGGCUGUACCAAGUAGAGCACAUGAAUAGGGGGGGAGAUAAUUUCAAAGGCUAAAGAAGGUACUGAAAGCUUUGCCUCAAGACUGUUAUUUCCUGUAAUCGAGUGUGAAAUGGUAUCUUUGUUAUGAAACUAAACGUCAGUCAUGUCUUUGUAAAUAUUGUACAUCAUUGAUUGUUGUUUAUAUAUAUAUAUAUAUAUACUGUUCUGUGUUCUUGCUUUUAAUGUAAUUAUGUAUUUAUUUGUAUUAAUUCUCUGAUUAUUCUGAGUACCUUUUUUAAGUAUUGUAUUAUUUGUUGCCUAGGGCUGGGAUUCCAUCGAAGGCGCGUUAUAUCACAGCACACUGCCAUUCGCAGACAUCACAUUCAUGGUAAACGUUCAUGGUAAACGUUCAUGGUAAACUUUCAUGGUAAACGUUCAUGGUAAACGUUCAUGGUGAAUUACCUUUCAAAAGGUACGUUGCUCUAUAACACACCUUGGAUGGAAUCCAGGCUUUUAUUAGGAAUGCUUUCACUUUCCUUUAUGGUCGGCGGUUGGGUGCCAUUUGGGACGCACACUGAGUUGAAGCAUUAUUCUGUGCAAAUGGGGUACUUAAACAGAAGAUCUGAGCCUUUGUAUUAAAUAUUAUUAUUAUUAUUGAGCAUGUAUUUGUAUGAACCUGGAUAUGAUCAACAUUGUGAUUCUAAAGUCGCUGACUACGCCAUUUAUUGCUGCAGUUUGUUGUGUUUACAUCUAGUUCAACUGCUUACAGUAAUUACAUAUGUGACCGACCACCUCUAUUCGGUCUUAUGUUGCAAAAUUUGAAAUUGUGUUUUUUAUGUUGGAUAAAAGACUCCGAGCUAGAAAGUGGUAUAGCCGCCUCCCGAGUGGCGUAGCGGUCUAAGGCACUGCAUCGCAGUGCUAGAGGCGUCACUACAGACCCAGGUUCGA
Coregonus clupeaformis (lake whitefish) is the source of this 4224-nucleotide RNA transcript. It is a transcript of the gene named transmembrane protein 198a, with no coding region annotated. NCBI's taxonomy places the organism in Eukaryota, Metazoa, Chordata, Actinopteri, Salmoniformes, Salmonidae. The transcript is spliced from 8 exons. The record is from RefSeq and is a predicted model, not a curated record.